UUUUUAGGCAAAGGAGUAGAAUAAGGAGGUUCCCAGGCUAGGGGUCGAAUUGGAGUUGCAGCCACCAGCCUACACCACAGCCAUAGCACCUCAGGAUCCAAGCUGCAUCUGUGACCUACACCACAGCUCACGGCAACGCCGGAUCCUUAACCCACUGAGCGAGGACAGGAAUUGAACCUACAACCUCAUGAUUAUGAGUUGGAUUUGUUUCCGCUGCACCACAACGUAACUCCUGAACCACACUUUCCAUCAUCGAACUGGAAGCACUUCAUCAACAAUCCAGGAAGACAGGGCAUUCCAGGAUGACCAUUCACUCCGUUUGUGGAAAUAAAGUAGCCUUCAGUCCUUUACAAUUUUGCUGAACAAUGACUGCUAAGAGAAGUUUCAAAUAUUUGCUGGAGAUACUCUUGGAAAAUAGAGGGCAAUUUACUGGCCUGUGUGAUUUUCAAGUGGAAGAAUAUGUCAAUCACCUAAUUACCAACUAUUCAUCAAGGAGGGCUUUUAAAUACAUUGUAAAUGAAACGUGUAAAUUAGCCACGAAUUCUAAAUGUACUAUACUGUAUAAACACAGAGCAGAAAUCUUUUCAAAAGUGUAAUUUAUUCAAAGGCGUUUCCUAGCUUAAAUACAUUCUCCCUGAAAAGCUAUCUGUAUUGACCCAAGUUACUACAUCUUCCAUGGUCCUUUUAGAAUAGAUAUUUAUUCAAAAGCUGCAAAAUAAUGGGGAACGAGUCUUCCAGUUGAAGUUAGUAUUACACAAAGUCACUUAGGACAUCACUUUUUAUUAUUCCAGUCCAGCAUCCUCCCUUCCUUUCCAUUGCGUCCUCUAGGCCUCAACACAACCUCCGUUUCUAGUAAGCACGAAAUAAUCCUUAUUUUUUACAUGACAGUUAGUCUCAAAAACAAAACAGGGAGUUGCAAAAUUGGAGGUCAGUGAACAAAAUUUGCUGCCCCUCAACCACACUGAUGCGUGCCAGGGUAGAAAAGUCAUUCCUAAUUCCUCCCAUUGCCGUCCAGAUCCAAAAAGGAAAGGGAACCAAGAUUUGGGACCAGAGUCCUUGGCAAAAAGAGAAAACCAUAAAAGUUUAAAAGAAAAUUUAAAAAAUUUAGAAAGCAGCAUUUAAAAUUGAACUGAUCUUGUGAGCAAAAAGGAAUUUGUUACUUAAAACAGAAAUGACAUACAUGAUGGGAUAUUAAGCAACAGGUAAGUAUUUUAUAUUGGACUUCCGUCGACGAUGCUGUUAAAUGCUGGCUCUCCCCAUUACAUGGUGAGCGUAGCCACUCUUGAGCUAAAAGAACACACACAGACAAACUUAAUGCAUGCAUUCCCAAACUACACACUUUCACCUAAUUUGUGGAAAUAGAUUAUAUUUCUGUUUAAAUACAAAGUAAAAGGAGGAGAAAUUUUGAAACGUUUGUCAGUCUUAUGAUUCGCAAACUGCAGGAACCACUGUGAUUCAUAUUAGCCAACAGGGUACGAAGAUCUCUGUUUACAUCCACGACGUGAUCAAAUCUUUUCACAACACCAGGGGCGCCUAUUCAUGGCAUUAAGAAGCAAGGUGAUUUAAACUUCCAGACACUGUCGAUGUGCUGUUCUGUUCAAAGGAAAAGUACGGGGUAUAUCAAAGGCAACCUCUGUAUUAAGAGCGAAUUUACAACUUCACUGCUUUCUUAAAUCAGAUCCCAUUGCUCACAAUGUUUACAUCAUUUAAGAAUUUGUACAUUUAAAAGAAGAACAAGAAGGAGUUUCCAUUGUGGUACAGAGGAAAUGAAUCCAACUAUAUUCAUGAAGAUGUGGGUUUGAUCCCUGGCCUUGCCCAGUGGGUCAGGGAUCCAGCAUUGCCAUGAGCUGUGGUGUAGGUCGCAGAUGCGGCUCAGAUCCUGCGUUGCUGUGGUGUAGGCUGGCAGCUGCAGCUCUGAUUUGACCUCUAGCCUGGGAACCUCCAUAUGCUACGAGCGCAGCCCUAAAAAAAAGAAAAAAAAAAAUACCAAGAACAAAAAUCAUAAUAAUUCAUUAUUACCAAAGGCAGAGUUGCGCCCAGGGUUAUAACAUCAACUUUCUACAUAAAUUCUAGACAUAUUAGUAGUCUAUUGAGUGAAUAAAAGAAAUAACAUAAUCCCAACCACAAAAGGCAGACUAAAAUCUUCCCAAACCUUCUUGGGUUUGACCUGCUCACACACUACUCACCAAAUGAGGAUAAAAGCAGCUACAGAUCAUUUUGUAUUCGUUUUGUACGUCGUUACUACAUAAUUUAAUUCCUCCUACUCCACUUGAGCUUAUCACUGUUUGAGUAUUGCCAUUAAAAAUUACUGAAUAACGAGAUAAGAUAAUGCUAGGCUAGGAGCUAUACUGAGCAAGAAAAUCGGUUCCCUCUAUAGAGGAGCUCAAAGGCCCAACAUAAAAUCAAGAGACCACACAGAACAAGAAUAAGCGUUGUCAUAGCAGAAGAGCACUGAAUGCAUAAGGAACGAGCAUGGGAUUGUUGAAAAACGGGUUCUGAAGAGGCCGUGGGCUGCUUUCCAAGCAAAGCCUAGCACACAAAAUGUAUUGUGACCAGAGAGAAGUAUUUUGGUACUUGCCACAUCAUACAUGCUCAAUAAAUAUUUCCUGAAAUAAGCAACAGAAUGAGGGGAUAAAUGGAUGGAUGCAGUCCUAUCUGAAAUAUAGGGAGGAAAAAAAAGAGAGAGAGAGAGAAGACAACUUUGUAUGACCAUGAGGAGAAAGAAGGCGAUGAUAAAUGCAGAGAAAGUUCUAUUUCUAAGGAUUUAGAUAAAAACGGGGCAACUCCGAAAUCAAUCUCUCCAAUUACAUCAAUCUCACCCAGAUUUUUUUCAGCAUUCAUUCUAGCAACACGCCAGAGCAUGCUUACAGCAGGCUUCAGGGAAGGAGCACCCUCUUGCUUCCUGCUUUCAAAGGGUGCUGCCUCCACUUAGUGAUGUUUAUAAAAAUGGCAGCAGUUUCCUAUUUGAAUGUUAAUUACUGUUAUGACACACAAGCUAAUUUAACUUGCUUCAGUAAUUUAUUCUUCCUUGUAAUUAGAUGCAGUAAUUGGAAACUCUUCCAGAGUGUAACACCAGUUUCUGAAGGUGAAAUGGCAGGGGGAGGGAGCUUUCCCACAGGCUCGCCACGGUGCAUCGGUGCAUCGGGAGCUGGCUCUUCAGCUGGCCGGCACUCGGAUGAACCAGGCCAGGCAUCAGAGAUGGUCCUUCUGGAAUCAAGUAGGUGGCACCCAUGACCUUUAAAGAGUUGGAUGAUUCAGGAGCAAGGCGAAGCCCCAGCAGAAGGUUACAGCUACCCUGAGAAGCGGACUAAAAGCUAAACUGGAAUGAAUCCAGGAAUGGUACCACGCGGGGCCAUUUUAAACCCUCUAGACUGGGAGCUAGUUACAUGCAGUGCAGAGACUCCGCCGUAGGAUUACAGGCCAAACACACCACGGGGUGUGAUGGACUCUUCAUUUUACAUGAUUUACAGAAGUAUUUUGGUACUUGCCACAUCAUACAUGCUCAAUAAAUAUUUCCCGAAAUGAGCCACAGAAUGAGGGGAUAAAUGGAUGGAUGCAGGCAUGGCUUAGCAAUAAUUAUAGCCAACAUGUAUUCAAUACACAGAACACACCGGGUACCAUGCUGAGCACCUGCCUUUCCUCCUCUCCCGAUUUCCUUGUACCCAAUGCCUUAUUAUGUAUCUUGACCUAAAAUCUUUUUAUUUGUUCUUUUAUUUUAUGAUUUUUAUUUUUUCCAUUAUAGUUGAUUUACUGUGUUCUGUCAAUUUCUAGGCACAACAAAGUGACCCAGUAAUACAUGCCUACAUACAUACAUACA
RNAcentral lists this long non-coding RNA (3817 nucleotides) under Sus scrofa (pig). Its description in RNAcentral is "lncRNA (ENSSSCG00015012944.1)". The record is from RNAcentral. Lineage: Eukaryota; Metazoa; Chordata; Mammalia; Artiodactyla; Suidae.